This 484-nucleotide ribosomal RNA is filed under the name uncultured bacterium. RNAcentral's name for it is "partial 16S ribosomal RNA". It matches the Rfam family "Bacterial small subunit ribosomal RNA", at positions 28 to 523 of the family's 1533-position model. The record is from RNAcentral.
GACGAACGCUGGCGGCGUGCUUAACACAUGCAAGUCGAGCGAUGAAGCUAGAGCUUGCUCUGGUGAAUUAGUGGCGAACGGGUGAGUAACACGUGAGUAACCUGCCCCGGACUCUGGGAUAACUGCUGGAAACGGUAGCUAAUACUGGAUACGACCUACGAAGGCAUCUUCUGUAGGUGGAAAGAAUUUCGGUUCGGGAUGGACUCGCGGCCUAUCGGCUUGUUGGUGAGGUAAUGGCUCACCAAGGCGACGACGGGUAGCCGGCCUGAGAGGGUGACCGGCCACACUGGGACUGAGACACGGCCCAGACUCCUACAGGAGGCAGCAGUGGGGAAUAUUGCACAAUGGGCGCAAGCCUGAUGCAGCAACGCCGCGUGAGGGAUGACGGCCUUCGGGUUGUAAACCUCUUUUAGUAGGGAAGAAGCGAAAGUGACGGUACCUGCAGAAAAAGCACCGGCUAACUACGUGCCAGCCGCCGCCGUAA